Trichoplusia ni (cabbage looper) is the source of this 1132-nucleotide long non-coding RNA. RefSeq lists it as uncharacterized. The record is from RefSeq and is a predicted model, not a curated record. The transcript is spliced from 2 exons. NCBI's taxonomy places the organism in Eukaryota, Metazoa, Arthropoda, Insecta, Lepidoptera, Noctuidae.
UGUGGUAACAGUCGUCGGACUGUCGGAGGCAUUUUUUAUUGCAAAUCUGUAGGUAGUUCUGUCAUCAUCUGCUCUAUUAAAAUCUUUGGAACCUUGUGCUGAGUUGUACUUAAAAUACAUAAUACUUGCACUGUUGCAGCCUGCUGACCCUCUCGUUAGAUCUCGUUAGAGAGUAUUAUUGUUCUGUGCUGCUGAUAGUGUAUAAAUAAGAUGUGAACGCUGGUUUUAACCUUUGUUGAACCUGAAUACUUAUUGGUGACAACAAGCUACAGUUGAGAAAAUCAAGUCUAGUCACUUGGUUUGUGGAAAAAUGUGCUUUCACAAUAAAGGAAAAACCAGUCUGCAAUCUAACUUAGCUAAGUUAAGCAUGAGUCAAAAAUUCAGUCUUUAUUAGAUAUUGUUUUGUUGGGAUUCAAAAUUGACUACUGUGGUACAACAGUCGCCAUCUAUGUCAGUUAUUGAGAUACAAUUAAGUGUGUCUCAAACAUUUAAAAAGUUUGUCGCCUGUUUUUGUUGUUUCUUUGAUUGUUGUUUGUCUUGGUUUUUGGUCAUGUAAUCUAUUAAGGUUGUUGAUUGUAAAUCUUUGGAAUAUUCAGUUCUAUAAGCUUGUUUAUUCUAGUUCGACUUGACUUCACUACCUAAUUGAAUAUUUUUCUUGAUAUCUUAAAUUUUUUUAUUGAUUACUUUAACAUCUGAGGUAUAGAUUUAGAUGAACUAUUCGUCAUUCAGACCGUAGCCGAACCGCUACCUUGUGGCCAUAGGUCAGCCGCCCCCAACAAUAACUGUUACUUGCACCAAUCACAUUCCUAAUAAGCCAAAAUAUGAUGGUAUAGGUCGCGCGGCGGUUCUUGAUCGCUCGACGAAAAUAGUGGGGGUAGUCGGCGCAUGUGUACAAUUGCGCUCAUCAAUUCUUAGUAUGUUACUUACUAUAAGGGUUUUUUUAAUUCUUAUGUUUGAACGGUAACUUAACAUAUAGACACUGGUUUUUGCUUGUAAUUUAUAGUGUACGUAGGUAAAUUCAGAAAAAAAAAAACAAACGUAAAUUUUGUACUUUAUAUAAUUAGUAAUUAUAUAAAGUACAAAAUUGAUGUAAAAGAUACCUUAUACAAAGUAUCUAAAAUACUAGAUGCAA